RNAcentral lists this ribosomal RNA (482 nucleotides) under uncultured bacterium. RNAcentral describes it as "bacterial SSU rRNA". It matches the Rfam family "Bacterial small subunit ribosomal RNA", at positions 30 to 507 of the family's 1533-position model. The record is from RNAcentral.
AUUGAACGCUGGCGGAAUGCUUUACACAUGCAAGUCGAACGGUAGAGGGGGCAACCCCUUGAGAGUGGCGAACGGGUGAGUAAUAUAUCGGAACGUGCCCAGUCGUGGGGGAUAACGUAGCGAAAGUUACGCUAAUACCGCAUACGAUCUACGGAUGAAAGCGGGGGACUCGCAAGAGCCUCGCGCGAUUGGAGCGGCCGAUAUCAGAUUAGGUAGUUGGUGGGGUAAAGGCUCACCAAGCCAACGAUCUGUAGCUGGUCUGAGAGGACGACCAGCCACACUGGAACUGAGACACGGUCCAGACUCCUACGGGAGGCAGCAGUGGGGAAUUUUUGGACAAUGGACGCAAGUCUGAUCCAGCCAUUCCGCGUGCAGGAUGAAGGCCCUCGGGUGUAAACUGCUUUUGUACGGAACGAAAAGGUUUCUAUUAAUACUAGGAGCUCAUGACGGUACCGUAAGAAUAAGCACCGGCUAACUACGUG